RNAcentral lists this ribosomal RNA (398 nucleotides) under uncultured bacterium. RNAcentral describes it as "partial 16S ribosomal RNA". It matches the Rfam family "Bacterial small subunit ribosomal RNA", at positions 523 to 918 of the family's 1533-position model. The record is from RNAcentral.
AUACGUAGGGUGCGAGCGUUGUCCGGAAUUACUGGGCGUAAAGAGCUCGUAGGUGGUUUGUCGCGUCGUCUGUGAAAUUCCGGGGCUUAACUCCGGGCGUGCAGGCGAUACGGGCAUAACUUGAGUACUGUAGGGGAGACUGGAAUUCCUGGUGUAGCGGUGAAAUGCGCAGAUAUCAGGAGGAACACCGGUGGCGAAGGCGGGUCGCUGGGCAGUAACGGACGCUGAGGAGCGAAAGCAUGGGUAGCGAACAGGAGUAGAUACCCUGGUAGUCCAUGCCGUAAACGGUGGGCGCUAGGUGUAGGGGUCUUCCACGACUUCUGUGCCGUAGCUAACGCAUUAAGCGCCCCGCCUGGGGAGUACGGCCGCAAGGCUAAAACUCAAAGGAAUUGACGGGG